RNAcentral lists this non-coding RNA (140 nucleotides) under Streptomyces sp. The record is from RNAcentral. Lineage: Bacteria; Bacillati; Actinomycetota; Actinomycetes; Kitasatosporales; Streptomycetaceae.
GACCGUACGAACGCAUGCUCCACUCGCUCCGAUACGCAAGCUGUUCCAGGGGAAGCCGGUCGAAUUCCGGCGCUGACCCGCAACCGUAGACCCGGCCUGGCCGGGUGAGCCGGAGUACCUGGGGCUUGUUCCACAGCAAC